Molecule: ribosomal RNA, 468 nt
Filed under: uncultured bacterium
Lineage: Bacteria
Description: partial 16S ribosomal RNA
Rfam family: Bacterial small subunit ribosomal RNA
Source: RNAcentral
GACGAACGCUGGCGGCGUGCUUAACACAUGCAAGUCGAACGGAAAGGCCCUGCUUUUGUGGGGUGCUCGAUUGGCGAACGGGUGAGUAACACGUGAGUAACCUGCCCUUGACUUUGGGAUAACUUCAGGAAACUGGGGCUAAUACCGGAUAGGAGCUCCUGCUGCUUGGGGGGGGUUGGAAAGUUUCGGCGGUUGGGGAUGGACUCGCGGCUUAUCAGCUUGUUGGUGGGGUAGUGGCUUACCAAGGCUUUGACGGGUGGCCGGACUGAGAGGGUGACCGGCCACAUUGGGACUGAGAUACGGCCCAGACUCCUACGGGAGGCAGCAGUGGGGAAUAUUGCACAAUGGGCGGAAGCCUGAUGCAGCAACGCCGCGUGCGGGAUGACGGCCUUCGGGUUGUAAACCGCUUUCGCCUGUGACGAAGCGUGAGUGACGGUAAUGGGUAAAGAAGCACCGGCUAACUACGUG